ACUAGGCAGUGGCUUGGUUAAGGGAACGGAACCCACCGGAGCCGUAGUGAAAGCGAGUCUUAAUAGGGCGAUUGUCAUUGCUUAUGGACCCGAACCUGGGUGAUCUAUCCAUGACCAGGAUGAAGCUUGGAUGAAACUAAGCAGAGGUCCGAGGCCGGUUCGUUCGUCCUAUUCUAAUAUUCAGGACCAAGAGGUACUGGAUUCUCUUUCGGAUAGGCUCUGAAAGGAGAAGAAAGGCUGAAAUGCCAACGG
This 252-nucleotide non-coding RNA is filed under the name Triticum aestivum (bread wheat). Its description in RNAcentral is "Bacterial large subunit ribosomal RNA". It matches the Rfam family "Bacterial large subunit ribosomal RNA", at positions 630 to 835 of the family's 2925-position model. Lineage: Eukaryota; Viridiplantae; Streptophyta; Magnoliopsida; Poales; Poaceae. The record is from Rfam by way of RNAcentral.